Molecule: small RNA, 122 nt
Filed under: Arabidopsis thaliana (thale cress)
Lineage: Eukaryota; Viridiplantae; Streptophyta; Magnoliopsida; Brassicales; Brassicaceae
Description: ATSL044410
Source: RNAcentral
AGAAUCAGGGAGAGAACUCCAUUUAUCAAACAUUGGAGAUGCUCUUAGAUGUGGAUGAAUAAAACGGAAGCUUAACAUGCUUUCCAAUUUGACAUGCAUUACAAGUCAAUGUGAGAGUCUUU